GUCUGUCACUAAUAAUCAACUUUCGGGUCAGCUUCCACAACAAUUGGGAAACCUCAGUCAUCUUGACAGCCUGUACCUAGAGAACAAUUUAUUCAGUGGUAAAUUGCCUCCAAGCUUGGAAUCACUGAAAAAUUUAGUCAUCUUCACUAUUCAAGGAAAUGACUUCAGUGGAAGGAUUCCGGACUUCAUCUCAAAGUGG
Coffea eugenioides is the source of this 199-nucleotide long non-coding RNA. RefSeq lists it as uncharacterized. The record is from RefSeq and is a predicted model, not a curated record. NCBI's taxonomy places the organism in Eukaryota, Viridiplantae, Streptophyta, Magnoliopsida, Gentianales, Rubiaceae. The transcript has 3 exons.